GCAGUCGAACGGUGAAGCCCAGCUUGCUGGGUGGAUCAGUGGCGAACGGGUGAGUAACACGUGAGCAACCUGCCCCUGACUCUGGGAUAAGCGCUGGAAACGGCGUCUAAUACUGGAUACGAGACGUGAUCGCAUGGUCAACGUUUGGAAAGAUUUUUCGGUUGGGGAUGGGCUCGCGGCCUAUCAGCUUGUUGGUGAGGUAAUGGCUCACCAAGGCGUCGACGGGUAGCCGGCCUGAGAGGGUGACCGGCCACACUGGGACUGAGACACGGCCCAGACUCCUACGGGAGGCAGCAGUGGGGAAUAUUGCACAAUGGGSSCAAGCCUGAUGCAGCAACGCCGCSUGAGGGAUGACGGCCUUCGGGUUGUAAACCUCUUUUAGCAGGGAAGAAGCGAGAGUGACGGUACCUGCAGAAAAAGCACCGGCUAACUACGUGCCAGCAGCCGCGGUAAUACGUAGGGUGCAAGCGUUAUCCGGAAUUAUUGGGCGUAAAGAGCUCGUARGCGGUUUGUCGCGUCUGCUGUGAAAUCUGGGGGCUCAACCCCCAGCCUGCAGUGGGUACSGGCAGACUAGAGUGCGGUAGGGGAGAUUGGAAUUCCUGGUGUAGCGGUGGAAUGCGCAGAUAUCAGGAGGAACACCGAUGGCGAAAGCAGAUCUCUGGGCCGUAACUGACGCUGAGAAGCCAAAGGUUGGGGAGCAAACAAGGCUUAGAUACCCUGGUAGUCCACCCCCGUAAACGUUGGGAACUAGUUGUGGGGGUCCAUU
RNAcentral lists this ribosomal RNA (766 nucleotides) under Microbacterium sp. RNAcentral describes it as "bacterial SSU rRNA". The record is from RNAcentral. Lineage: Bacteria; Bacillati; Actinomycetota; Actinomycetes; Micrococcales; Microbacteriaceae.